RNAcentral lists this ribosomal RNA (439 nucleotides) under uncultured bacterium. RNAcentral describes it as "partial 16S ribosomal RNA". It matches the Rfam family "Bacterial small subunit ribosomal RNA", at positions 339 to 795 of the family's 1533-position model. The record is from RNAcentral.
CUACGGGUGGCACCAGUGGGGAAUAUUGCACAAUGGAGGAAACUCUGAUGCAGCAACGCCGCGUGGAGGAUGACACUUUUCGGAGCGUAAACUCCUUUUAUAUAGGAAGAAGAUGACGGUACUAUAUGAAUAAGCGCCGGCUAACUCCGUGCCAGCAGCCGCGGUAAUACGGAGGGCGCAAGCGUUACUCGGAAUCACUGGGCGUAAAGAGCGUGUAGGCGGAUUAAAAAGUCAGAAGUGAAAUCCUAUAGCUUAACUAUAGAACUGCUUCUGAAACUCUUAAUCUAGAAUAUGGGAGAGGUAGAUGGAAUUUCUGGUGUAGGGGUAAAAUCCGUAGAGAUCGGAAGGAAUACCGAUUGCGAAGGCGAUCUACUAGAACAUUAUUGACGCCGAGACGCGAAAGCGUGGGGAGCAAACAGGAUUAGAUACCCCAGUAGUC